CUGGGAUAGCACGGUACAUUAGAAAAGGAAUAAACUCAAGAGUUCCAGGACUAGGUGCCUUGGGAGAGAGUCUUCCUUAAUCCCAACUGGCCCUGGUAUCAUGAUGUCAUCCAGAGGCCACUCUGAAACCGACUCAGAUGAUGUAGCCUUCACUGCAAGAAUUUGUUUGUACCAGCUCUAUGCCAUACACUGUGAUAGACACACCAGACGUGGAAGUGAGAAAUACGGUUCCCAUCUUGGAUAGCAAAGAAGAUGGACAAAUAAACCAACAAAUUAAACACAGAAAAAUGUUUUCUAAAGGAAGGAGGUUUCUUGAAGGAAGUGGUACUUCUGUUGAAAUAUGAAAGAUGAGUGAGGGUUAGUCACAUACAGAAAGGGAGAAGGGAGUAUCCAAUGUAGAUAGAACAGCAUAUGAAAAGCACAGAGAUGUGAGAGAGCAGGUAGGCAUUGCUGUAAAUCCAGGUGGAUGUAAAAAAAAAUCAGAGCCUUGCAGGAACUAGGUUGUAGAAAGCUCUGUGGACUAAGUUUAGUUGGUUUAACUUUAUCCUAAAAGUCACAGGAAAAUAUUAAAGAUGUUUAAAAAGAAAAAAAACAGAUUUUCAUUUUAUUAACAAAACAUAACUCUGGCAGCAGGUGUGGAAAAUGGAUGGAGGGGCCAAGACCAGAAGAAAGACACCUGUUACUGAAGCAAUGCAGAUGGGAAAUGAUGGAGACCUAGAUGUAGACCAUGCCAGCAAAGACGGAGGGGCAGAAUUGAGUACUACUUGUAGAACUAAUGUAACUUACAGGAUGAUUAGAUACAUAGAAAGGAGACUAACUCAAUCCUUUAUUUUUCUUCCUUUUUCAAAAGUUUUUUUUAAGACUAUAUUACUAUAUUUUCCCCAUUCCCUCCAUUCUUAAUAUGACAGUUAGCUAAUUUUACUUGAAUACCUAUGUCUUAUUCUUUACCAACACCACUAAGCAGCAGCAUCUCCCUAUCACCACCACAACAAGCAGCAAGUGUUUAUGGAGCACCUCUUACUAAAUUAUCCUUUGUCUUGUUUUGUGACAAAUUUACAUUCCUCUCUGCUUUACUUUUGCUUUAUCCUGUAUUUUUCAUUGUUCUGUGGUUUAGCGUGUAUUUUCUUCUGCUCUUCCAGGACCGUAGGAUUUCAGAGCUUGUUACUUAAGUUCUCAGGUUUUUGAUAUGUACUUGGAAUUUUAUUUUUUACUACUUUCUCAAAGUAAUGCUCCACAAAUAUUUCUUAUGUAAUUCCAAUGCAUCUAAAGAGAUUUAGCAUUUGAGUUUUAUGUUAAAUCAAUAAAUGGAUUAAAGCCAUAAUUAGCAAUCACCAACUUUUAUCUGGAAAUAAACUGAAA
RNAcentral lists this long non-coding RNA (1359 nucleotides) under Pan troglodytes (chimpanzee). Its description in RNAcentral is "long non-coding RNA NONPTRT000303". Lineage: Eukaryota; Metazoa; Chordata; Mammalia; Primates; Hominidae. The record is from RNAcentral.